AUUGAACGCUGGCGGCAGGCUUAACACAUGCAAGUCGAACGAUGACUAACUAGCUUGCUAGUUAUGAUUAGUGGCGGACGGGUGAGUAACAUUUAGGAAUCUGCCUAGUAGUGGGGGAUAGCUCGGGGAAACUCGAAUUAAUACCGCAUACGACCUACGGGUGAAAGGGGGCGCAAGCUCUUGCUAUUAGAUGAGCCUAAAUCAGAUUAGCUAGUUGGUGGGGUAAAGGCCCACCAAGGCGACGAUCUGUAACUGGUCUGAGAGGAUGAUCAGUCACACCGGAACUGAGACACGGUCCGGACUCCUACGGGAGGCAGCAGUGGGGAAUAUUGGACAAUGGGGGCAACCCUGAUCCAGCCAUGCCGCGUGUGUGAAGAAGGCCUUUUGGUUGUAAAGCACUUUAAGCAGGGAGGAGAGGCUAAUGGUUAAUACCCAUUAGAUUAGACGUUACCUGCAGAAUAAGCACCGGCUAACUCUGUGCCAGCAGCCGCGGUAAUACAGAGGGUGCGAGCGUUAAUCGGAAUUACUGGGCGUAAAGCGAGUGUAGGUGGCUCAUUAAGUCACAUGUGAAAUCCCCGGGCUUAACCUGGGAACUGCAUGUGAUACUGGUGGUGCUAGAAUAUGUGAGAGGGAAGUAGAAUUCCAGGUGUAGCGGUGAAAUGCGUAGAGAUCUGGAGGAAUACCGAUGGCGAAGGCAGCUUCCUGGCACAAUAUUGACACUGAGAUUCGAAUGCGUGGGUAGCAAACAGGAUUAGAUACCCUGGUAGUCCACGCCGUAAACGAUGUCUACUAGCCGUUGGGGUCCUUGAGACUUUAGUGGCGCAGUUAAUGCGAUAAGUAGACCGCCUGGGGAGUACGGCCGCAAGGUUAAAACUCAAAUGAAUUGACGGGGGCCCGCACAAGCGGUGGAGCAUGUGGUUUAAUUCGAUGCAACGCGAAGAACCUUACCUGGUCUUGACAUAGUGAGAAUCCUGCAGAGAUGCGGGAGUGCCUUCGGGAAUUCACAUACAGGUGCUGCAUGGCUGUCGUCAGCUCGUGUCGUGAGAUGUUGGGUUAAGUCCCGCAACGAGCGCAACCCUUUUCCUUAUUUGCCAGCGGGUUAAGCCGGGAACUUUAAGGAUACUGCCAGUGACAAACUGGAGGAAGGCGGGGACGACGUCAAGUCAUCAUGGCCCUUACGACCAGGGCUACACACGUGCUACAAUGGUAGGUACAGAGGGUUGCUACACAGCGAUGUGAUGCUAAUCUCAAAAAGCCUAUCGUAGUCCGGAUUGGAGUCUGCAACUCGACUCCAUGAAGUCGGAAUCGCUAGUAAUCGCAGAUCAGAAUGCUGCGGUGAAUACGUUCCCGGGCCU
RNAcentral lists this ribosomal RNA (1355 nucleotides) under uncultured bacterium. RNAcentral describes it as "bacterial SSU rRNA". It matches the Rfam family "Bacterial small subunit ribosomal RNA", at positions 28 to 1381 of the family's 1533-position model. The record is from RNAcentral.